UAUUAAAAUCAACACAUGAAAUAAAAAAGUACUAGAAUCUCAAUUGCAUGAAAUAAAGGGUUCCAAAAGAUUACAUUGUUCGCCCUAACAUGAAAUUUAACUACUCAUAAUAAUGGAAGAAAAAUAGGAGAUUGUCUUAGAAUACAUCACCGAGUUUGAAAUAAAGAUGUGGAAGAAAAAAUGGAAUUCUUGCACCAAGAUCUCCUUCCUCUUCCAAUGAGUGCUUCCAAUCUUCAAUUCUUGGUAUUAAUCUUCUUAAAUUUCUCCCUUGAAUCUCCCUUCUUGUUGUUUUUCUCUCCAAUAUGUCAAGAACCCUUCAAAAGUAUGAGGAGGAUGUAUUUAUAGGUGCCUCCACGUUUUUAUGUUGAAGUAGGGUUUCUAUAGCUUUAAAAACGGCCCAAAAAAACGCGCCCUAAAUCGCCAAUCGCAGCGCCUAGGCGCUGGCUAUAGCGCCUGGGCACCGUGUCUUCAGCGCCUAGGCGCUGGCUAUAGCACCUGGGCGCCGUGUCUUCAGCGUCGAGGCGCUGGUGGUAGCGCCUGGGCGCUAUGGUUGUAGCGCCUAGGCGCUGCCUCUCGGGUCCAAUUUUCAUCUUUUCUUCGUUUUGUAGCGCCUAGGCGCUAUAAGUGUAGCGCCUAAGCGCCAUCUUUCUGCCCCAAUUCCGUGUUUUUGGCCUCUUCAUCCACUUUAAUACUUCUUUUCUCAUUGCUUCUCCUUAUCUUCAAAACAACACUAACAAACACAUCAAAAACGUUCUACACUCAUAAAAUCUAGUAUUUAAUCCAGCUAAAAUUGUGCGAAAACCAUGAGUGAAACAAACUCAUCAAGCACUAUCAACGAGCUCGACCUGAUCUUUCAAUAUAUUUUUGUGCUUCGAAUCCCAAAAGUCAGUCUUAGUGAAUGUCCACCCCAUUGACCCCCUCUAUCAGGUUUGAACAAGUAGCAAUGCAAACAAUAAGCCGCAUCAUUUUCUAUACUGUACUCCAACCAAUAAAAUUUAGAAGACCAUUCUUUCCGAAAACAUCUAUAAUUAUUUCCUAUCUGUCUUUUUAGAAUCAUUGACAAUGACCUUUUUCCAAGUAUGUCAUCCUAACAUCAUCUCUGAUAUUAUGAUCAUAUGACUCGAUAGGGAGGCGUUUUCCCGGAUCAUGACAUAAGAUCAUCCACAUUGAAUUGAGCCCGAUACUUCUUUAUGUUAUUUAACAACUCGUGUGCUUAGCUAGAAAAAGUGGCGGGACUAGAAGCACAACUAGAACUAGGUAGAGACUUUUGUUUCGGUUGAAAAAAUCGUUCCAUAAUCUGCAAAAUGCCCCAAUUUAAUUUUCAAUUACAAUUGAUUAAAAAAUCAACAAUUCAACAAACCCCCCCCCCCCCCCCCCCAAACAAUAAGUAAAUCUCUAAACCACAGGUUCAAUGAUUCAAUAAAACCAAUUUCUAAACCAACAAUUCAUCAAACAAGUAGGUUCAAUUAUACAAUAAAAUCGCAAAUCUCUAAACUGCUCAAUUGAAAUCAUCACAACAAAACCAAUUUCAACAAAAUCCCCAAACAAUAAGUAAGCCUCAAAGCUGAAGCAAUUCAAAACCCUAAAAGUCAAUACAAAUCAAAUAAAGAGCAUAACAAAUUACUAAAAAAAACAAACAAUUAAACAAUAAACAUGCCAGAAAAAACGUCGUACUUGAAUUUGAAAUGAUAUCACAAAUCACAAUUCAUACUACCGUUUACGCCGGAGCACCACUACUAGCUCAAUCGACAAGCAGUGGACUGCCCAAGAUAGGUUUGACGGGGAAGGAAUUGGGGGAAGAACUCACGAAGGGUUUGCUCUUCUUUGAUCUCUCUAGUUACUGAUUUUGACGGGAAGGAAAUGAAAAUUUGGGAAAAAGGGGAAACUGAUUCGAGAAAGUGGAAUCUGGAGUCCUGGACCUCUGCCUUUGUUGUAGACGGUAGUGGAUAAGUGGUAAGUAAUCUAGUUAUGGUCUAUAAUGGGUGAAUGGUGAUUUGGGCAUGCCUAUUUUUAAAAAAAAAAAAAAAAGAGAGAGAGAGAGGCCCAACAGGCAACAGCAUCACAGAUUUACAACCUUCCGGUGUCGGGCGAAAUCUGUCAUCACAGAUUCACCACAGCUAGAGUGGCGCCUGGCUGUUCCGAUGAAUCCAGCUAGGACGGCCGUCCUAGCUGGCCGCCACCUACAUCCCCCACUGAUUCUAAUUUAUCUUCAUCUCUAAACCCCCAACCCCCACUCGCACACCGCAUAUCAUUGCCAUAACCAAUCCGUCUACCACAUAAAACCCCUUGGUGUUUGAAUAUAUGCAAUCUCAAGGUCCAGAUGUCACCCAUGGAAACAUCAAAUUGUCUAAUAUCCUUUUCACAAAGUCCUAUGAGCCACGAGCCUCAAAAUUUGGACCAAACCAACUAGUUCAAUUUCCAUCCUCUAUUACUUGUGUUGAUGGCUAUCAUGUGUUUGGAAAUGAUAGAUUCUCGCCAAGAUUCCCAAAAUGCCGAUAUUAUUGCUUUUGGAGUGUCUUACGGACGAGGCAUUACCUC
This 2538-nucleotide long non-coding RNA is filed under the name Olea europaea subsp. europaea. The record is from RNAcentral. Lineage: Eukaryota; Viridiplantae; Streptophyta; Magnoliopsida; Lamiales; Oleaceae.